Molecule: ribosomal RNA, 838 nt
Filed under: uncultured marine bacterium
Lineage: Bacteria
Description: bacterial SSU rRNA
Rfam family: Bacterial small subunit ribosomal RNA
Source: RNAcentral
UGCAAGUCGAACGAAGUAGCAAUACUUAGUGGCAGACGGGUGAGUAACAUGUAGGUAUCUGCCCUUUGGCCUGGAAUAACACGAGGAAACUUGUGCUAAUACCGGAUAAGUCUUUACGGAGAAAGCUUUAUGCACCAUUGGAUGAGCCUGCACUUGAUUAGUUUGUUGGUGGGGUAAUGGCCUACCAAGACUUUGAUCAAUAGCUGAUUUGAGAGGAUGAUCAGCCACAUUGGGACUGAGACACGGCCCAAACUCCUACGGGAGGCAGCAGUGGGGAAUCUUGCACAAUGGAGGAAACUCUGAUGCAGCGAUGCCGCGUGAGUGAAGAAGGCCUUUGGGUUGUAAAGCUCUUUCGUCGGGGAAGAAAAUGACUGUACCCGAAUAAGAAGGUCCGGCUAACUUCGUGCCAGCAGCCGCGGUAAUACGAAGGGACCUAGCGUAGUUCGGAGUUACUGGGCUUAAAGAGUUCGUAGGUGGUUGAAAAAGUUGGUGGUGAAAUCCCAGAGCUUAACUCUGGAACUGCCAUCAAAACUUUUCAGCUAGAGUAUGAUAGAGGAAAGCAGAAUUUCUAGUGUAGAGGUGAAAUUCGUAGAUAUUAGAAAGAAUACCAAUUGCGAAGGCAGCUUCCUGGAUCAUUACUGACACUGAGGAACGAAAGCAUGGGUAGCGAAGAGGAUUAGAUACCCUCGUAGUCCAUGCCGUAAACGAUGUGUGUUAGACGUUGGAAAUUUAUCUUCAGUGUCGCAGCAAAAGCGAUAAACACACCGCCUGGGGAGUACGACCGCAAGGUUAAAACUCAAAUGAAUUGACGGGGACCCGCACAAGUAGUGGAGCAUGU